RNAcentral lists this transfer RNA (74 nucleotides) under Planctomycetaceae bacterium. Its description in RNAcentral is "tRNA-His". It matches the Rfam family "tRNA". From Rfam's summary of the family: Transfer RNA (tRNA) molecules are approximately 80 nucleotides in length. Lineage: Bacteria; Pseudomonadati; Planctomycetota; Planctomycetia; Planctomycetales; Planctomycetaceae. The record is from RNAcentral.
GUGUUCGUAGUGUAUUGGUCUCGCAUGCGACUCUGUGACAGUCGAGGCGAGGGGUUCGAUUCCCCCCGGACACC